This 501-nucleotide ribosomal RNA is filed under the name uncultured Plectosphaerella. RNAcentral describes it as "eukaryotic LSU rRNA". The stretch from base 145 to 298 matches the Rfam family "5.8S ribosomal RNA". Lineage: Eukaryota; Fungi; Ascomycota; Sordariomycetes; Glomerellales; Plectosphaerellaceae. The record is from RNAcentral.
CAUUACUGAGUACUACACUCUCUACCCUUUGUGAACUAUUAUACCUGUUGCUUCGGCGGCGCCCGCAAGGGUGCCCGCCGGUCUCAUCAGAAUCUCUGUUUUCGAACCCGACGAUACUUCUGAGUGUUCUUAGCGAACUGUCAAAACUUUUAACAACGGAUCUCUUGGCUCCAGCAUCGAUGAAGAACGCAGCGAAACGCGAUAUGUAAUGUGAAUUGCAGAAUUCAGUGAAUCAUCGAAUCUUUGAACGCACAUGGCGCCUUCCAGUAUCCUGGGAGGCAUGCCUGUCCGAGCGUCGUUUCAACCCUCGAGCCCCUGUGGCCCGGCGUUGGGGAUCUGCCACGGCAGGCCCCUAAAACCAGUGGCGGACCCGAAGGCCCUCUCCUUUGCGCAGUAGCAUCAGCCUCGCAUUGGGAUCCCUCGGCGUCCUGCCUCUAAACCCCCCACAAGUCCGCUCCGGCGGCACCAAGGUUGACCUCGGAUCAGGUAGGAAUACCCGCU